Molecule: long non-coding RNA, 3105 nt
Organism: Odocoileus virginianus texanus
Lineage: Eukaryota; Metazoa; Chordata; Mammalia; Artiodactyla; Cervidae
Source: RefSeq, a predicted model, not a curated record
GCUGCAUGCGGCUCACGGGGAGCCGGCUUUGGACAUAGCGGGUCUCUGUCUCUUUCGUUUUAUUUCAUUCACUUACUUGUGUUCCUCUCACUUAGGACCGACCUCGUCUGUCCAGAACCGGCGUUUUCUCAAAGAAAAUAUCUCUGUCCGAAAAUGGAAAGAAAAAUCGGCUGGAAAUGUCCCCACCGUGGUGCCUGACAUAACCAGCGUGAACUGGGGCCCCAGAGACCGACCUAAAAUCUGGGCGCAGGCUUCGGUGGGAGGCGAAGACAGCCGCUCUGAGCUCCUGAGCGGUCCCAGGCGGCGCAGGGGUUACGCUCCGCGAAGCUGGGAGCCCACUCUGGCUGGUCUGACUUAUGGGUUCAGCUGCUCUGGCCCUGACCUUGUGCCCGGCACACAGUAUGUGCUCAGUAUCUGCCUCUGGACCGCAUUAAUCCAGUAAAUGAAGCUUUCAGCAUACAGAUCUAUACUUAAAUUCUGACUCUUAAAUCCUGUCGGGAACAAUGUCCCGGGCAAGAUAUUUGACCUCCUCUUGGCUAUUAUAUAGUUUUUAAAAAAUAAUGCUCUGUAUUUGUCACUAUUUAUAUUCACAGUGUCUGAAAAAAGAUAGGUGCUGGAUAAACCUUUUGUGGAAAUGAGACUCUGCACCUCAGUUUACUCAUCUGUAGAAGUACCAUGAUAUCUACCCAGAAUUAACUCUUAUGAAGAUUAAAUGAGGUAAUGUAUUUAAAGUUCCUGGCACAUAAGAAGUGCUGAGUAGAUACAUGGUGACUUAACAGUUUCUGUUGGCAAACAUCUCCACUGCCCUCUGUUACCUUAUUCCAGGUAACCCUCAAAUGUGACUGUCUGCAUUCUUCCUGUCUUCUCCUCCACACCCCCAAACAUCUCCAUUUGCACUUAGAGCCGUUCACGGGGUGUCCCAACAGGGACACCCUGACCGGCGAUCAUUAUCCACCUCCGCACAAAGAUGCAGAACUGCCACUAGCAGCCCGAGACAGAGCAGCAGCCCAGGGCUGGGCCGGGAGAAAGCAGCUGGCUUCCUGAGGGUCAGGCCCAGUCUCAACCAUCUCUUUAGCCCAGAUGGGGCCCAGAGGGAGAGCGCUGAUGUCUAGGCUCAACCUCUGAAAAGAGCCACAGUGCAAAGUCUCAGGGGCCUCCCAAAGCUGAUCCUGGCCACAGCCUCCUUGGAUUUUACUUUGGGAAAGAUGCUAAUGGGGGUUUUCCACCUCAGAAUUGGAAAUCAUAUACUCAUAUCUAUAGGGGAUAUAUGAUUCUAGAAGCUUCAUGGAAGUUCAAAACCUCAGGACCAUCUAGAAGCUUCCAAAAGGCAGACAUCUGCAACUGUAGAUGAGAGAAGACCGUAUUUCCCCCCCAAGGUGCUUAAAGGCAGCUUGACUUGGAGACUUCUUGAACAGCCGGUCAAUUCUGUGUUUCUGUAAGAUGAUGGCACAGAGAAAACCCAAUAGCAACAUGACUCCUUGAAGAUUGUUCCUCUGUUUGGAUGGGAUUGGAUGAAAAGCAUCUUUUAGGAAAGAGAUAAUGCGGAUGACCCUGCAUUUGUAUAAUGCUUUGAUCAUUCUUACAAAUUUUAUAUUUGUGUUGCCUACAACUUUGUCAAUCAAGUGGACCAGGCACUUUAAACCCUACAUUACACAUGGAAAAACUGAUAUUUAGAAGGUCCAGCUGAUUUUCUAGACUUGCAUUUAGUUAAUAGGCAGACUUGAAAUGUAUUUUCAUCUACAAUGCCUGUGAAUGAACUAUACAGCCUCCCAGCUCCCAGCUGUACUUGGAAGAAGUGCACAGGAUGCUGAAUUUAAAAUAUAUAUACCAACGUGGAGAAGUUUCCUCAUAAGGAGAGCAUUGUGUAGUGGAUCAAGCAUGGGCACUGCAGUCAGAAUGCCUGGAUUUAAAUUCCGACAGCAUCACUUACUAGCUGAGGGGCCUUGGGCAACUGACGUAUCCUCUCCAGAAUUUUUUGAAAGUCAGCACUUUAAGUAAAUAAUGAGAGAACAAAGAAGAGAGAAUGAAGAGAGGCAGAAGGAGAGUAGCCUGUUGAGUAAGAGAUGAAAAACUGUAGAGUUGAGCACCAAUAAGUAUAAAAAUUAAGUAAAAAUCUUGCAUAUGCCUAUACUGUGAAUUUUUCCUAAUUAAAAAUAACCCAUGAAGGCAUCAAGAUGACCUGUGACCAGAGACUGAAUCAUCUUUGCAUGACAUCAACAUGACCCCCUUGUGCAGAUCCUCUGGAAGCAGAGUGGAACCCCCAUUCCAGAUCCGAGAGGACAAGCUGAGGACCUUUUUCCAUCCGUGUGCAUGAGGAGAUCUUGAUAUGGGCAGAGAUGAUACAGCCUUCUUUCCUACACAGUUCUUUCUGGUUAUUCCUACUCCGAGAACUGAGAAGUUCACAAUAUUUCCCAUUUUUAACUGCUGUUUAUAGAAACACACUUGUCAGAGUCCAUCAAAGCCAUGGACGGUGUAAAAAAUGGAGAAAGUUUCCAAUGGGGGAGAGUCAAGGAAAUCCCCCAAAUGAGGAAAUUGUAAGUAGAUUUUCCAUAUGACUGUCAUUCUUUAAGAAUUUGCUCCAUGUAUGUAAUCCUACUUUCGGCCAGCUCCAAAGGAAAUGGCCCCUCACCCUUCACUCUUUCACCAAAAAUCAAACAGGAAGAGAUAAUGAUCCUCCCACAGUGUCCCAAUGAAUCCUUAAAGAUUGUCUUUUUAUUGUCAACUUGACAUAUUAAUCAAGUGUCAGUUGAAAAAUAUAUUAAAAAGUUAAAUGAUUUUCAUUUCCACUACAGCUUAUGUUGCAGUGGAAUACAAUGGUUAAACAUGUUUGUGAAGUGUUGGGCUGUAACACUGUAUUUCUUCUGACAUAAGCAGUAUUAUAGGGUUUUAUUUUUGCACCAUUUUAGAGAUGGGUAAAAACAAGACUCAGAGAUUUAAGAGCUUUAUAGAAGAGUCAGAAACAGCCCAUUGCCCUAUAUUGUAAAUCACCCCAUUUUGAAUGAAAUUGCCCAAUUCACAGAGAAGUUUCAUGUUCACUAGGUAAAAGAGAUGAAGAAGAAGGGGUGGGGCUGGAGGGGGGAGAAAAUUUUUAAAAAAUAGGAAAGG